AAAAACUCAAUUCCUGAGUUUCCGUGUUCAACGUUUGACUGUCCGUCUUAUAUAAAUUUUUUUUAUGAUUAGUAUUUUUAUUGUUGUUAGAUGAUAAAACAUGAAUAAUAUUUUGUGCGUAACUUAUCUUUUUUAAAUUUUUUUCAUAAUUUUUUCAAAUAAGACGGAUAGUCAAACGUUGGACACGAAAACCUAGAAAUUAAGUUAUU
Molecule: microRNA precursor, 209 nt
Organism: Oryza sativa Indica Group (long-grained rice)
Lineage: Eukaryota; Viridiplantae; Streptophyta; Magnoliopsida; Poales; Poaceae
Rfam family: MIR812 microRNA precursor family
Source: Rfam